AGGGUCUUCAAUCUAAAGCAGCAGCCAUUAAAGCCAAGCCAGUAAGUACUUGUUUUGUUCUUCUCUCUCUUUCUCUUUCUCUUUCUCUCUCUCUCUUUUUCUCUUCGAUCAACCCAAAGAACACCGAAUUAAAGAGCGUGUUGACAAUGGACUGAACCAAAUUUAUUAUGAGAUAAGGCUCUUGUGAACACUACCACUUCUACAAAAGCUAGCCAAUAGAAGAAAAAAACCACAGAUCGAUGAGUCAAAUCUGUAUGUAUGACUGAAAAAAGAAGAGGUAGCUAGCAGAUCAUAUAUAGCUAUAUAUGUGAAUAUAUAUUAUAUAAGAAUAAGAUGUAAAAUAAUAUGUUAUGUAGCAAAAAGGAAAGAAAGAGGCGCCGGUAAGAGAGAAUAUAAAAGUGGAAUAAGCUGACAGAAAGAGAAGUGAGCACGCACCGUCAACAAGAAAGAAAAAAAAACCUAGCUAGAAGAGAAGCUUUCAAGAAAGAAGAGAACAAAAAGAAGAAGAAGAAGAAGAAGAGGCAUAUGUGUGGAGAUGAUGGAAAAGGACUAGUUUCAUGAAAUAAAGAGGCACCAGGUAUAGAGUGACAGACUUGUGAAGAAAGAGAAAUUCAAGGAAAAUAAAAACAAAAAAGAACAAUAAAUAAGAGGCCACAGUUUCUAUAUGCUCCUUUCUAUACUCCUCAAAAUCUGAGGCACUUCAAUCAUUUUUUUUCCAUUUUUUUUCACUAUUUUCCUUUAUUUAGUUCUUGAAUUUUAAAAUAUUUUUUCUACCCUGUACUAUUAUUAUUAGUUUUGGUUUUAUAGUAAUAAAUUAAAGCUCAUUGAUCGA
This is a long non-coding RNA of Humulus lupulus (European hop), 832 nucleotides long. RefSeq lists it as uncharacterized. The record is from RefSeq and is a predicted model, not a curated record. The transcript has 2 exons. Lineage: Eukaryota; Viridiplantae; Streptophyta; Magnoliopsida; Rosales; Cannabaceae.